This 253-nucleotide ribosomal RNA is filed under the name uncultured bacterium. Its description in RNAcentral is "partial 16S ribosomal RNA". It matches the Rfam family "Bacterial small subunit ribosomal RNA", at positions 524 to 776 of the family's 1533-position model. The record is from RNAcentral.
UACGGAGGGGGCUAGCGUUGCUCGGAAUUACUGGGCGUAAAGCGCACGUAGGCGGUUUGUUAAGUCGGGGGUGAAAUCCUGGAGCUCAACUCCAGAACUGCCUUCGAUACUGGCGAUCUCGAGUUCGGGAGAGGUGAGUGGAACUGCGAGUGUAGAGGUGAAAUUCGUAGAUAUUCGCAAGAACACCAGUGGCGAAGGCGGCUCACUGGCCCGAUACUGACGCUGAGGUGCGAAAGCGUGGGGAGCAAACAGG